Molecule: long non-coding RNA, 1234 nt
Organism: Perognathus longimembris pacificus (Pacific pocket mouse)
Lineage: Eukaryota; Metazoa; Chordata; Mammalia; Rodentia; Heteromyidae
Exons: 3
Source: RefSeq, a predicted model, not a curated record
AGGCAGAUUCAAUUAACUUCAAGCUAACAAAGCUCAUUUAAUGUGGCAAAACAUAUUAUUUGGAUGAAAUUACAUUACCACUUCAAAUCUGAACAUGGUAUACAUUGCUAUGGCAACUGUGUUUGUGAGCUUAUGGAUUUCAAGUUGGGACUAAGUUUUCUGGAAGAACAUAGCAAACCCUUUGUGUAUUCCUUGGAUAUACUUGGUACCAAUAAAUCAUUUGCUUUUUUUUUUUUUAAGUGGCACUGGGGAGCUCAGGAUCUCAUACUCACAUGAUUUGCUUGUUUUGCUGGUACUCUACCAUCUUAGCCAUGCCUCCAAACUAGCUUUGACUGGCUAUUUUGGAAAGGAAGUAUUGUAAACUUUUCUACCCAAGCUAGCCUCAAAACCUAGUUCUGUUUCUCAGACCCCUGAGUAGUUAGGAUUACUACAGGUGUGAGCUACUAGCCCACAGUUGUUUAACUUUUAGUUCUUGUCUGGACUACUUGUUGCUAUCACACGAGAAGGGGCCUUAGUUUUUUUUGUCGGUCGUGGGGCUUGAACUUUGGGCCUAGACACUGCCCCUGAACUCUUCAGCUCAAAGCUAGUGCUCUGCCAUUUGAGCCACAGCACCACUUCCAGUUUUCUGGUGAGUAAUUGGAGAUAAGAGUCUCAUGGACUUUCUUUCACCCGGCUGGCUUUAUACCAUGAUCCUCAGAUCUCAGCUAGGAUUACAGGCAUUUGCUGCUGACACCGGGCAAAAUGGCCUUAAUUUUUAACUGUUAUCUAACUAGAAGUAGAAAAUCAAACAAAUUCCUGUAGAGAAUCUGUAAAACAUUUCUAAGCACUCCCAUCUUCCUUCCUUCUCUUCCUGAUGAUCCUUCUGCCGUUGUUCAGAUCUUACCACCUGUUCUACAUGAGCUGCUCUUUAUGAAGGAGUUGCUUCUUCACAAUAGGACACAUUAAAAAAAUCAGUGUCACUUUAGCAAGCAUUUAAACUUACUUUGAUUUUGGCACAUUGGGCAUUGCAGGGCCCCUGCUCAUCCAUACCAGGCUUUUAUGAUAAUGAGGAAUUGUUAUCCCUCCUAGCAGAUACUCCCAGUCCAGUGCUAACAGGAAGCCAUAUGACCAAAUGGGACUUCAGCCCACAUGUGCCACUUAGCUCAGGGUCUUCAUCUACACACUGAGUAUGGCUCACAAAGUUGUCUUACAAAGUUGAUUUUAAAAAAUUCUCAUUUCAUUUCUUAUUUUUACU